AUGCUGGGCAAGAUGAAUGGCAAGACCUUGCUGAUGCUGGUUGAUUCGGGUUCUUCGCAUAGCUUCAUCAACUCAGAGAUUGCCAGCGAUUGGCAUGGAGUGCAGCCUAUGGUCAAGAAACUGAGAGUGAAGGUGGCUGAUGGUGCAGUGACCACUUGUGACGCUGAGUUACCAGAUUGUGUGUACCAAAUUCAAGGUCAUCAAUUCCGAUCAACUUUGAAAUUGUUUCCAUUGGGUAGUUAUGAUGUGAUUUUGGGAAUGGAUUGGCUGGAAUCUCGAGGGCUCAUGACUGUCAACUGGGGUAGCAAGUACAUGGUUUUCCAACAUCAAGGCCAAUUUAUUCAGUCGCACGGAGUUUCAGCCUCAGUUCAGGAAUGUCCACCGAUUUCAACUGUUGAGUUGCAGCUUCUGCAAACUCAGGAAUCAGUGCUGCGAGUGGUGCAGUUGUGUUCAGUUAAAGAUGAUGCUGAGGCUGCCGUAAUUCCAAAGGCGGUGACAGCUUUAUUGGAGGAAUUUGCAGAACUGUUUGAAGAGCCUCGAGGAUUGCCACCCCAACGGUCCUUCGAUCAUACAAUCGAUUUGCUGCCCGGGGCGACACCAGUCAACAUCAGGCCCUAUCGAUACAACCCGGCGCAGAAGGAUGAGAUCAAAGCGCAAGUGGCCGACAUGUUGAAACAAGGGAUCAUUCAAGUCAGCCGUAGCCCCUUCGCAUCCCCUGUGCUCUUGGUACAGAAAAAAGAUGGGGAGUGGCGUUUUUGCAUUGAUUUCCGCCAUCUUAAUGCUAUCACUAUCAAGAAUAGGUACCCCCUACCCGUGAUUGAUGAGCUUUUGGAUGAACUACAAGGAGCCAAGUGGUUCACAAGUAUGGAUUUGCGCUCGGGCUAUCAUCAGAUUCGCAUGAGGCCUUCAGAUGAAGCAAAAACAGCCUUUCAAACGCAUCACGGUCAUUUCGAGUUCAAGGUGAUGCCAUACGGUGUGACAGGGGGACCAACAACUUUCCAAGGUGGGAUGAAUAUCAUGCUGAAGCCGUACUUGAGAAAAGGGGUUCUAGUCUUUAUUGACGACAUCUUAAUGUACAGCAUCACCUUGGAAGAACACAUUCAGCUUAUGCGAUCAGUGUUUCAGACUCUGAAAGAGAACCAAAUGAAAGUGAAGCGAAGCAAGUGUGUCUUUGCCUGCAAGCAACUGCGGUACCUGGGGCAUGUCAUCAGUGAAGAUGGGGUGAGAACAGACCCAACUAACGUCGAUAAGGUGCGAGAUUGGCCAAGUCCGCAAUCAGCCAAAGAGGUGCGCCAAUUCCUUGGCUUAGCUGGGUAUUACCGGAAGUUUGUGAGGCACUUUGGCAUUAUCAGUCGACCCCUGAUGGAGUUGCUUAAGAAAGGGGUGGUCUUUCAAUGGACACCACAACAUGAAGAGUCCUUCCAAGCGCUAAAAACGGCAAUGACUACUGCACCGGUCCUUGCACUGCCCAACUUUUCAAAACCCUUUGUGGUCGAAACUGAUGCUUCGGACCGUGGAAUUGGUGCAGUUCUAAUGCAGGAUCAUCGCCCAAUUGCGUUCUUAAGCAGACCCUAG
RNAcentral lists this ribosomal RNA (1575 nucleotides) under Triticum aestivum (bread wheat). RNAcentral's name for it is "partial small subunit ribosomal RNA". Lineage: Eukaryota; Viridiplantae; Streptophyta; Magnoliopsida; Poales; Poaceae. The record is from RNAcentral.